AGUUGCAACUGCACCUCGGACUGCAGUGUAGACUGUCCCUGUAUGUAUGCACACAAGUAUUUCAUAUAAAAAAGUAUGCUAAGACAACACUAAUGUUGUGCAAUUAAAUAAGACUUCAUGGUUACAAGAUGCUAAACAAGUGACUCUAAGGUGGUAGGGGAAAAUGUAUAAUGUAUUGUGGGCCAGCUGGUGUAAAUUCAUUGACUUCAAUAGAGCUAGGUAGAUUGACAUCAGCUGAGAUCUGGGCCUGCAUCAUUUUAAGUAUAGAGGGCUUGAUUCGCCAAUGCAUUGCCAGUUUUAUUCUGACAUAACUCCACCAACCUCAUUGGAGUUACUCCUAACUUACAAACAUGGAUAUGAGAGGAAAACCAGGCCUAAAGACAAUAGACAGUAUCAUAAUGCACACACACAAUAGUGGAGGGUUAUGGUUGUACAUUCAACCUUCAGUGUUGCAUUUCCUGACUUCUGAGUUCUUUUUCUGACUUACCUUUUUUUUUCUUUAAAGAAACGACAGUCGAAACUCCCAACAAAUAGAGAUGGAAUCUGCCAUACUUCAAACUUUUGCUGGUGGGCAAAUGCAUGGCCAGAUCCCCCACUAGUAUAAAUCAGCAUCACUCCAUGGAAAUCAAUGGAGCUACAGCAUUUAACACCAGCUGAGUACCUGGUAGAAUUUGUCACCCCCCUCCCUACUCACUGUGUUCCACUGGCAUCUGGGCUGGUAACAAAUGAAGCACCACCGAAUGCUGGUGACUGGCACCCUGAAAGGCCAUGACACUGAAGAGUGUACCAGUGUAUUGAUGGGUGCUUCAUCAGUGGCUGGCUUACUUCCAGCUUUGACUUCACAUUUAGCAAGGGACAUAUCCUCAGCUGAUGUAAACUAGCGCAGCUCUGUUGAAAUCAACGGUGCUAUUACAUUGAUUGACACCGGCUGGCAUAGUAUGUAAGUGAAAGAAGAUGGGGCAAAAUCCUGCCUCAGACUCACUCAUUCCUGUGCUGUGGAAAGACCAAAGCACAGCAGCCCCACUGUGGGGGUGAGAAGAAAUGGAAUUUGGACAGGUCAGUGGAGAUGUGUGGGCAUGGCCAGUGUGCCUGACAGGGUUUGUCUGUGCUGCAUUGUAAACCCUGGGCUAUGGGACCUGGGCUUGCAGACUCUGUGUUGUCAAGCCUGUGUUUGAGCUCCCAUACUGCAUGGUAAACCUGGGUUUACAAUUGCUGGACCCAGGUCUCACAGCCGCAUUCACAUGUCCAUACUGCACAAUGCAGACUGUCUGACUCAGUCUGUGGCUUGAGCUGCAUCCACACUGCAAAAUGAUAGGGCUUGGACCUGAGUCUCAGCGGACUUGGGCUCUGACCCAUUUCCCCAGCAGGGUUAUAGGACCUGGGUGCUUACAGACUCAAGUCAGAAUGAUGGAAGCAGCCAGGGGUUGGGCUCAAACCUGAAUCAGAGUCAGGAUAAGUGUGCAGUGUAGACAUACCCUGAGCCAUGCAUCAGUCCUGUGGGAGUGAUGUCACUGGCUUCAGUCACUACCACCUAGUAUCUGCAAUGUAACUAUGGGGAAGCUCCAAGCACAGUCUCGUGCCCCCUUCCAACCACCAUUUCUUCACAUCACCUAUGAGACAGACGUUGGGCAAGUGUCAUGACUGUCACCCAUGAGGAUCUGGUAAUGAACUCAGACCAAGUUCUUUCAUCUGUAUCUAUUCAGGUAAUGGUACUGCAUCCAUGAUGGUAUACACACAUUCCUGUAUGACACGGAGAACAAAGCUAACCAGUGAAUCAAGUAGAUUUAUAGCACUCGAAAGCCAUGUUGUAAUGAAGCUUAUACUAAAAUAUGUAACAGUAAUUGGAUUUAUUAAAUUUUAGAAGAAAACAAAUGAAAUAAAUGAGUCAAUCCUGCUAUAAGGCUAUUUUUAGUAUUCAUAUGUGUGUUUCAGUGCCUCUCGGUUACUGAGUAUGAUACUGUGAAGAGUUUGUAGGGCUGGGGCAAUUUUAUUUUUCUAGGGGGAGGAGGAAAUGGUGGGUGGAGGUUUUGCUGAGCCUCCUAUUCCUCCCACUCCAUCUUUAAUUACCAAUGCCUUAAAUAGACUUUCUGACUGAGGGGAUAGAGGCAGCAUGAAUGCUGCUCUGAAGUUGGCCCACCGUGUUCACUCGAGGAUGAUGUGAGGGUCUUCCUUCUUCCCAGGAGAGAGGUAGGGCCUUCGUACCAACCAACAUCCCUACUAGGUUGGGCGCUCAGGACCUCAGUGCCGAUCCUACUGCAGAGCAAGCUGGGAAUUUUCGAUCUGAAGGAUAUGCCAACAGAAAAUGCAAAAAUUUUCCUUGGGAAAAUUUCAGCUUUGCUGAAAAAUGUCAAUUGGACGUUGGGAAACAUCAAAAUGAUGGCUCCACAGCUUGGGGCUUGGAAGGCUCUUGUCAAUUUCACUGGUGUAAUAUUUUUAACUUAAUCUUCUAACAAUUUAAUGAGGUAGGCUCCAAAAGCCAUAUUCAGGCAUCUGCUUGAUCUUAAAAAGUACAGCGCACUCAACAACUCACAUUGCGGUUGUGUUUCUGACGUUUUGUCCUGAUUUCGGAUUUUUUUGUUUUAAAUGUGACAUUUUUAUGGGAGGGAACUUUCCAGUUUCCAACUAGCUCUAGCCUACUAUUUUGCAGCAUGUUGAGCCAUCACUAUGCAUUGACCAUGUUAAUUAAAGAUAAAGGUUGGAAUAAGAUUUGCAAAAAUGGGAGCCUACGGUUAGGCUCCCACAUCCAUGUUUAAAUAUAUAGGCAUCUCCCUCAAAAGUGCUGAGCACCCAACAGCUUCCAUUGAGCUUAAUAUGAACUGUUGAGUGCUCAGUACUUUUGAAUCAGGCAGGUGCCCGAAUAUGGAUGUGGGAGCCUACCUCAGUGAAUUAUUAGCAAAGUAAAUACAAAUAUUAUAUCAUUUUAAAAACCUUUACACAUCUAAGUGGUCAGGAAUCCAAAAUGGCCACUACUACGGAAAUGUUGCAAAAUUUGGCUUUUUGUAAGUGUUAUUAUUAUUCACUUCAGGCCAGAUCCUCAGCUGGUACCAAUGUCCGUUGCUCUGCUGACUUCAGUGGAGUUACACUAAUGUGAAGAUCUGGAUGGCUGUAUCUUUUAAAGACAUGAAUUUUGAAUUAUCACUCCAAUGUGGCUUUGAAACCAUUAGCAAUUUAGUAACUUUUCAAUAAAUCACAUGUGAGUUACAGACAUU
Chrysemys picta bellii (western painted turtle) is the source of this 3209-nucleotide long non-coding RNA. RefSeq lists it as uncharacterized. Lineage: Eukaryota; Metazoa; Chordata; Testudines; Emydidae. The record is from RefSeq and is a predicted model, not a curated record.